CCUACGGGGUGCAGCAGUGAGGAAUAUUGGUCAAUGGGCGCGAGCCUGAACCAGCCAAGUAGCGUGAAGGAUGACUGCCCUACGGGUUGUAAACUUCUUUUAUAAAGGAAUAAAGUGAGGCACGUGUGCCUUUUUGUAUGUACUUUAUGAAUAAGGAUCGGCUAACUCCGUGCCAGCAGCCGAGGUAAUACGGAGGUUCCGAGCGUUAUCCGGAUUUAUUGGGUUUAAAGGGAGCGUAGAUGGGUUGUUAAGUCAGUUGUGAAAGUUUGCGGCUCAACCGUAAAAGUGCAUUUGAUACUGGCAGCCUUGAGUGCAGUUGAGGUAGGCGGAAUUCGUGGUGUAGCGGUGAAAUGCUUAGAUAUCACGAAGAACUCCGAUUGCGAAGGCAGCUUACUAAACUGCCACUGACAUUGAUGCUCGAAAGUGUGGGUAUCAAACAGGAUUAGAUACCCCUGUAGUC
RNAcentral lists this ribosomal RNA (460 nucleotides) under uncultured bacterium. RNAcentral describes it as "partial 16S ribosomal RNA". It matches the Rfam family "Bacterial small subunit ribosomal RNA", at positions 338 to 795 of the family's 1533-position model. The record is from RNAcentral.